Molecule: ribosomal RNA, 178 nt
Filed under: uncultured bacterium
Lineage: Bacteria
Description: partial 16S ribosomal RNA
Rfam family: Bacterial small subunit ribosomal RNA
Source: RNAcentral
CCUACGGGAGGCAGCAGUGGGGAAUAUUGCGCAAUGGGGGCAACCCUGACGCAGCCAUGCCGCGUGAAUGAAGAAGGCCUUCGGGUUGUAAAGUUCUUUCGGUAGCGAGGAAGGCAUUUAGUUUAAUAGACUAGGUGAUUGACGUUAACUACAGAAGAAGCACCGGCUAACUCCGUGC